RNAcentral lists this ribosomal RNA (478 nucleotides) under uncultured bacterium. RNAcentral describes it as "partial 16S ribosomal RNA". It matches the Rfam family "Bacterial small subunit ribosomal RNA", at positions 28 to 523 of the family's 1533-position model. The record is from RNAcentral.
GACGAACGCUGGCGGCGUGCUUAACACAUGCAAGUCGAACGGUAAGGCCCUUCGGGGUACACGAGAGGCGAACGGGUGAGUAACACGUGGGUGAUCUGCCCUGCACUUCGGGAUAAGCCUGGGACACUGGGUCUAAUACCGGAUAGGACUCCGGACUGCAUGGUCUGGGGUGGAAAGCUUUUGCGGUGUGGGAUGGGCCCGCGGCCUAUCAGCUGGUUGGUGGGGUGAUGGCCUACCAAGGCGACGACGGGUAGCCGGCCUGAGAGGGUGACCGGCCACACUGGGACUGAGAUACGGCCCAGACUCCUACGGGAGGCAGCAGUGGGGAAUAUUGCACAAUGGGCGCAAGCCUGAUGCAGCGACGCCGCGUGAGGGAUGACGGCCUUCGGGUUGUAAACCUCUUUCAGCAUCGACGAAGCGAAAGUGACGGUAGGUGCAGAAGAAGGACCGGCCAACUACGUGCCAGCAGCCGCGGUAA